CUGGCGAAGCAAGCAGAGCCGCUGGCAGAGGACGACCAGCGGCUGAACGCCGUGCCCGCGGGACCACCACGCGCCGACUGCAACCAACAGCAGUACGACGUCAUGAAGGAUAACUUGCUACUCUACAGCCACGCGAAACUCACAUCGGACGACAACCGUACGCCGGGCAGGGAGUACCUGGUGACGGCCAUGUUCACCCACUACGACAGCAACGGGGACGGAGCGCUGAUGCAAGAAGAGCUGGACAAGGCUGGCCGCUCGGACGAGGCGGGCGUCGAGGCACCUGGCGACAGCGGCGGCUGCCAGC
Molecule: long non-coding RNA, 307 nt
Organism: Schistocerca piceifrons (Central American locust)
Lineage: Eukaryota; Metazoa; Arthropoda; Insecta; Orthoptera; Acrididae
Exons: 3
Source: RefSeq, a predicted model, not a curated record